Long non-coding RNA from Solenopsis invicta (red fire ant), 1626 nucleotides. RefSeq lists it as uncharacterized. The record is from RefSeq and is a predicted model, not a curated record. The transcript is spliced from 2 exons. Lineage: Eukaryota; Metazoa; Arthropoda; Insecta; Hymenoptera; Formicidae.
CUACAUUACAAAAACCAUCGAAAAAGAAGUGUUGCAACCUUUUGUUAAACUAUGUUAACUAAUUGGUAUAACAUAAUAAAUGCAAAUACGUUUUCUGAAAUACUUAAUAAAAUAAUGCAUUAUUUAUUUAUAGAUGUAUACAUAUAAAAGAAAAUAAAUAACAAAAAUUUUCUAAAUCCCGUCGCAAUGUGUGCUAAGUUUGUGUAGUAGAAGUACGUAUAAAGUUGUUAUGCAAGAAUGUCACACAAUAAUUUUAUUGCGUAACGUUCUUGCUGAACAAGUUUGUAGAUACUUCAACUACAUAAACUUAUUGUUAGCACACAUUACGGAUGCACUUAAAAAAUUUCCGCUCGAAUAGUCUACGAAAGCAAUAAGAAAAAUAGACAAAUAAACAAAUUUCCUGCUUGUAUAUUUUCUACUUGGUUGACGUAUCUAAACAAAAUUUGCCCAAUUUUUAUAAACCCAAUUAGAAAAUUUUUUGCCUAUAAUAUAUUUCAGAAACAUUUCCGUUGCAUAUUAUAUCGCAAAGUUUUAAAAACAUUUCUAUAGCAAUAUUUCACAAGACAUUUUAAUCCUUUCAUUUCUAAACGGUAAUAUCGCAUACGAGGUAACGAUUAGAAUUUAAAACCUUAUGUGCACCAUAAGAUCCUUUCAAUCACGAAAUCAAAUUUUAUUCGCAUCGACUACAAUAUUAUAAUCAUAACACAGUCACGACAUCAUAUCACAUAAACAAUCACCGAUUUCUGAACAUCGUUAUUAGAUUUCUCGUUUAGAAUGAUUAUUUUAUCCAAGGCUGUCUCUCGCACGUUUAAUCGAUUCGAUUCUUUACUAUUUUCUCUUUUAAAAUCAAUUCAAUCUCUAUUAAAAUUAUAAAAAGUCGUUUCUCAAGAAGGUCGCGCUUAAUGAAUGUUUACAAACUGUUCAGACCAAACACGUUUUCGUAAUGUAUAAAUAGAUACUGUUACGUACGAUCUACACUUGCGAUACGUCGUGCACAACAUACAUAAUACAUGCACAAGCGGAUGCAAACACGCGAAUUCGGACGGCACGGUAGAUGGUCAAGUGCAUGGACACAAAAAGAGAAGAGAAAGUCUCGGACAUCACGGUGUUGCAAUCGUAAAAAACAAAUUAUAAACGACUCAUUAAAAAGAUAUCGGUGUCUCCUCCUGAGCUCGUUACAACCGUCCGUCUCGAUGCCUCGGCAAUUAUUUUGCGACGCUUGGGAUUUGGCGAUCCACGUUGUCCAAUAGAGGCAAAGAUUUUGGAAUGGAGACCAAUCUAGACAGAACUCGGAAAACCCGAGAAUAUAAAUGAGAUUGGCGGAAGUUUCCUUCUCUCAUUACGUCCGAAACCACGAUAGUGUUCGAGUCUUCUCAAUAUACCUCGCGACUCAGGGUGACUACACACCUAGGUUACAUCGAUCCCGGUUACCGAGUACCAGUGUCGUUCAAGUGAAAAUCAUAAACAUUUAUAAUCAUAAUCUUUUCCAUAAAAAAAAACAUUGUGAUGUCUCUUUCCUUAUUAAAAAAAUAAAAAAAAAAUCACAAGAAUACGAACAAGUUACUGAUGUACAGCAGUUCUUCAACAGUAUACCGAGACAUGUACAAAGGAAAUGAGUAUUCGACU